Molecule: non-coding RNA, 24 nt
Filed under: Rattus norvegicus (Norway rat)
Lineage: Eukaryota; Metazoa; Chordata; Mammalia; Rodentia; Muridae
Source: RNAcentral
UAGAGAUGUUGGACAGGUAAAAGG